UACGUAGGGUGCAAGCGUUGUCCGGAAUUAUUGGGCGUAAAGAGCUCGUAGGCGGUCUGUCGCGUCGGCUGUGAAAACCCGGGGCUCAACCCCGGGCCUGCAGUCGAUACGGGCAGACUAGAGUGCGGUAGGGGGAGACUGGAAUUCCUGGUGUAGCGGUGGAAUGCGCAGAUAUCAGGAGGAACACCAAUGGCGAAGGCAGAUCUCUGGGCCGUAACUGACGCUGAGGAGCGAAAAGCAUGGGGGAGCGAACAGG
This 256-nucleotide ribosomal RNA is filed under the name uncultured bacterium. RNAcentral's name for it is "partial 16S ribosomal RNA". It matches the Rfam family "Bacterial small subunit ribosomal RNA", at positions 524 to 776 of the family's 1533-position model. The record is from RNAcentral.